GUGCUCAAUUCGGCAGUACACAUACUAAAAUUGGAAUGAUAUAGAGAAGAUUAGCAUAGCCCCUGUGCAAGGAUGACACACAAAUUUGUGAAGUGUUCCAUAUUUUU
Mus pahari (shrew mouse) is the source of this 107-nucleotide small nuclear RNA. NCBI's taxonomy places the organism in Eukaryota, Metazoa, Chordata, Mammalia, Rodentia, Muridae. The record is from RefSeq and is a predicted model, not a curated record.